This is a long non-coding RNA of Scatophagus argus, 932 nucleotides long. RefSeq lists it as uncharacterized. The record is from RefSeq and is a predicted model, not a curated record. The transcript has 2 exons. Lineage: Eukaryota; Metazoa; Chordata; Actinopteri; Scatophagidae.
GUGAAAUGAAUCUCUAGAGUAUUUAAAGGGGAAGCUUGGACUCCGGGUGCUGUUGGAAGACGGGACGACAGAGGUGGACACACACUGCCCUGGGAUGCCGCCUUAUUAACCUGACCAAACCUGAGCCCGGACCUGAAGUUUAUUUUGGUGGGUGGGAUUGUAACGGAACCCAUAAUGCAGCUGUGAUUCUGAGCUCCAGCUGGUUAUGGGGUCCGUUUCCAUCCCACAGUGCACAGGACCUCAUGAGAAGACGAGUCGAUGCCGAGCAGUUUGUCAAAAAGAAAAGAAAAAAUCUGAGCAGGGACUUGACUUUGCUACCAUAAAUACUUACCAUCCUCACUUUUCAACUUCACAUCAUGUUUCUAAUUUAGCCUCUGUUUGAAAAUAUUUUCAUAUUAGUACAGUUAAACUUUAUUGUUCAAUAAAUGAAAAAAGAAGAAUGAAUCUGCCACAGUAAGACACUUGUAACAGUAUAAAAGUAUCUACAAUAAAAUGACACAUCCCAGCUAACUGAGCCACACCUAUAAAACCAAUAGAAGUCAUGUUAUGGUCCACCUGUUCUGAUUCAUACAAGCCAGUGCUAAAAGCUCACAAUUCAAGGUGGAGUUACAGUUUGGUUUCGAAAGUGAAACACCUGUGGAGCCUGUGUUUAGUGCUGCGUUUCCACGAACGGGAUAUACUGGAAUGCAGCGACUGAAAUCUGAUGUUGCAGUCUGACACACAAGGUGUUUUUUCCUCAAUGACACGUUUUCUCCCGGAUUGCUGACGACGGUAAACGCAACCGGGAAUUUCGUGUCAGCCAAGAAUAACACCAAGAAUGGCGACAACUGAGCUUUAACUGCAAGCCAUUUUAGUGUACCAUUAGUUGUUUUGUUUUAAAUAAUAUUUCUUAAUUGAUAAUUCUAAUAAAUAUCUGAAUUUUAAAACUUUAA